Molecule: ribosomal RNA, 83 nt
Filed under: uncultured Methylocella sp.
Lineage: Bacteria; Pseudomonadati; Pseudomonadota; Alphaproteobacteria; Hyphomicrobiales; Beijerinckiaceae
Description: partial 16S ribosomal RNA
Source: RNAcentral
UUACACAUGCAAGUCGAACGCUCGUAGCAAUACGGGAGUGGCAGACGGGUGAGUAACGCGUGGGAACAUACCCUCCGGUUCGG